RNAcentral lists this ribosomal RNA (798 nucleotides) under Streptomyces montanisoli. RNAcentral's name for it is "Bacterial large subunit ribosomal RNA". It matches the Rfam family "Bacterial large subunit ribosomal RNA", at positions 1209 to 1896 of the family's 2925-position model. The record is from Rfam by way of RNAcentral. Lineage: Bacteria; Bacillati; Actinomycetota; Actinomycetes; Kitasatosporales; Streptomycetaceae.
AACGGGGACUGUGAUGGGUAGGGGAGCGUCGUGUGCCGGGUGAAGCAGCCGCGGAAGCGAGUUGUGGACGGUUCACGAGUGAGAAUGCAGGCAUGAGUAGCGAUUCACACGUGAGAAACGUGUGCGCCGAUUGACUAAGGGUUCCUGGGUCAAGCUGAUCUGCCCAGGGUAAGUCGGGACCUAAGGCGAGGCCGACAGGCGUAGUCGAUGGAUAACCGGUUGAUAUUCCGGUACCCGCUGUGAAGCGUCAAAUAUCGAAUCUUCUGAUGCUAAGGCCGUGAAGCCGCCCUGAUCUCUUCGGAGUUGAGGGGAGUGGUGGAGCCGCCGGCCCAAGGGGGUAGUAGGUAAGUGAUGGGGUGACGCAGGAAGGUAGUCCAGCCCGGGCGGUGGUUGUCCCGGGGUAAGGGUGUAGGACGUUCGGUAGGUAAAUCCGCCGGGCAUGUGUCUGAGACCUGAUGCCGAGCCGAUUGUGGUGAAGUGGAUGAUCCUAUGCUGUCGAGAAAAGCCUCUAGCGAGUUUUAUGGCGGCCCGUACCCUAAACCGACUCAGGUGGUCUGGUAGAGAAUACUGAGGCGUUCGGGUGAACUAUGGUUAAGGAACUCGGCAAAAUGCCCCCGUAACUUCGGGAGAAGGGGGGCCAUUCCUGGUGAUCGAAUUUUCUUCGUGAGCUGGGGGUGGCCGCAGAGACCAGCGAGAAGCGACUGUUUACUAAAAACACAGGUCCGUGCGAAGCCGUAAGGCGAUGUAUACGGACUGACGCCUGCCCGGUGCUGGAACGUUAAGGGGACCGGUUAGUCA